This 209-nucleotide unclassified non-coding RNA is filed under the name Hevea brasiliensis (rubber tree). Lineage: Eukaryota; Viridiplantae; Streptophyta; Magnoliopsida; Malpighiales; Euphorbiaceae. The record is from RNAcentral.
UAUUGCUUCCCUAUAUGCAGAAUUUCUCUCAAGAUAUUCAGCAACUUGAAGAGUACUGCAACUAUAAGAAGACCAAUGCUUUACUGAGCAACAUAUUUCAGACCUCUACCAUAUCAGAAUAUGACCUCGGAGGAGAAGGGGAUCUAUUCAAAGCACCAGAACCAAUAAUUGAAGAGCCACUUGUGGGCCUUGAUCCCAUGACAGCAGCC